UAGAAUCACAGACACUACGGUUCGGGCAGGACUGAAUCCAUACUUUCACAAACUGUCAUCUCGUGUAAGAAUAUUUUGUUACAUGCCUACCAGAUUUAACGACUGAGUCCAACAGAGCUCAGGUGUCGUUCCCAAGGAUGCACAGAUGGAGGUCACGCAUUUAAUACAGUAUCAGCCUCGUUGUGUCACUGAAAAGGGUGGCGCUGAGAGAAGCGCCUUGUCCUGAAUGUCACUCAGUGCCGGUGAAUGCGCCAGGGGGAAUGCAAACCCACGUCUUUACACCUGCAUUUCCCUCACAGUGUGAGAAACACAGACACGGAAACAUAGGGCAAGGAUGAAUGUUUAUGAAUCUUGUAUCAGGAAGGAAGCAUAAUGAUUUCCAUUUCAGGCUUAUUUGCUAAUUCUCUUCUGAUACGAAGUUUAUCAAACGAUGCAACUGAAGAGGAGGUGUAAAGAGCAGGAAAAAGAAUUCUGUGCGGCCUGAACUGCGUUGUGGAGUGCAUGAAGUCAUAGUCUUUUAAAGGUCUUGAGUUUGGACACAGUUUCUCUCUUCUCAUCACACGCUCAAGUGUCAGGGCCCCCAGUAGCAAGUAAGCUCCAAGUGCCCUCAGUCCACUCUGGAAAACAGAGCAUCUGAAUACAGCAUGCCGAGGGGACCUUCCUUUGAUAAACAUUGAGACAGAUACUGUUUCUGUGUUGGAAUAGAGAAAAUGCCUUUCCUUCAGAUUCCGUCAUUUCCUGACUACAUGAGAUCAUGGAGAUUAUUUCCAGCGAAGCACGAUGCCUUCAGUUUCAAAUGCAGCAGCC
Long non-coding RNA from Camelus dromedarius (Arabian camel), 807 nucleotides. RefSeq lists it as uncharacterized. The record is from RefSeq and is a predicted model, not a curated record. Lineage: Eukaryota; Metazoa; Chordata; Mammalia; Artiodactyla; Camelidae. The transcript has 7 exons.